Long non-coding RNA from Quercus robur (English oak), 2377 nucleotides. RefSeq lists it as uncharacterized. The transcript is spliced from 6 exons. Lineage: Eukaryota; Viridiplantae; Streptophyta; Magnoliopsida; Fagales; Fagaceae. The record is from RefSeq and is a predicted model, not a curated record.
UUUCCCUUUAUUGAAACCCGUAUAAGGAAAAACAAAAACAUAAAAACCCAAAAAAUGGUUCAGGGAGGGAGACAUGUAGCGCUGAAUUAUUAAACAGAGAGACGGGGAGAAAGAGAACGAUAGAGAGAGAGAUUUGGUCAGGCAUAGAGAGUGGAGAGAGAAAAUCUGAGAAGACAGUCAGGCCUUUGCCACCAUCAGAUCCCGUAUCCUCCACCGGCUAUUUCCCUCCAUACGGUGGUAUGAAGUGGAGCACCCAAACAGGUUGGCGUAUUAGUUAAGACAACAAGGCUGACUAUAAGAGAAAUCAUCAGAACAUUUCUCCCUGCAUUCUCUCAAUUUGGUUCAUUUCACUUCAAUUCUUGAUUUGUUUUGGGUGACAGAGUUGCAACAUUGAGUGUGUGUUGGGUUAAUAUCUGUGUUUGUACAUAUAUUAAUUUUGAAUAUCAAAGGGUGAGGUUGAACGGAGCAGAGAGCUUGAUGAGAGACUAUAGACAUAUUAAAGCAUUUGAAGUAUAUAAAUGUUGGGGUUGAAUGGAAUCUACAAAGGUCUGUAUUUAUUCCUCACAAAAGGGACAUGAUAGGUAGAAAAUAAGAAGGGGAAACAAUAUUUGGCCGAUUGGAAAAGAGCAAGAACAAAAAGAACAACUGAGAUAUGAAAUGGGCAUUGAGCACAUAACCACACAAAAAGCAAUGAAAAGGCACAUUGGAAUUCAAAAGAAAAAAAAGUUAGCUAAUGCUGAAUUAGCAUCUUCAAAUGGACUUGGUUGAAUUGUUUUAGAUUUAGAUAUUUGAGUUAGAUUUGGUUUUAAUUAUGGUAUUGGGUUUAAAAUAAAUUUUGUUUUAAGUAUUUUGUAUUAGAUUUGGGUUAAAUUAGUUUUUGGUAUCUGCCUAUGGUGUUUGUAAUUAGAUUUGUAAAUGGAGAUAUGUGUUGGGUGUUUAGUACGUGGUAAAAGUGUAUUUAAAUAUAUUAUUAAAAAAAAUUAUUUCUAAUAAAUAUAAAUAAAAAGGUUCCCGCACAUCAUGUAGGUUAAAAAGCAAACUAUAUAUAAAAGCAAAAGCCUUUAAGAAGGUGCCGUCACAUUAGAAAAAAAAUUACCACUUAAAAUUCUGCCACGUAUAUAAAUUAAAAAGCGAUAAAUUAUGUUUUCUGGCAAUACCACAACAACAUUUAAAAACCUCUCAUUAUAAUUAACAAAAAAUAACCGGUUAAAAUGAAAGACUAUGCAUAGAUAGAAAUAGAGAGAGGCGAGAGGCCUGGGACGCAGAGAAAGAAACAGAGAAACAGGCUGGGACAUGGAGAAAGAAACAGAGAGAGGCAGAACGGUAAAGACUACAUCGAUUGGGCAAAAGAAAUCAAAAAAAUCUCAAAACACGAUUUUGCAGACGACGGAGAAAGAAACAGAGAAAGAGGCAGAGUUCUUAAGGCUGUCCAUUGUGCGUUACAAUCAAAAGAGAAAGAGAGCAGAGUUCGUCUGAACCAUACACCAUCCGUUCCCUUGCCAGAUUUAGACCACCAGAUCGCCGGAACUGACAUCGACAAUGAAUGAUUGAGUCCUGCACCAUUAGUAGCCUCGCCAUAGAAGAAAAAUCUAUGGACCAUCAACACUGUAAGACCAUAUAGCGAUAAAGUGAGAACUACCACCGUUGUGCCAAGAGGGAAAGUUGUGAAACCAAGAGAUAGUUAUGUUGAAGACAAUGGAAGAACAAGUGUAUUUCCAUAGUUUCAGAAUGAAUAGGAGGCAGAUGUGAAAAACACACCAGCAGUUUCGCUGCUUAAGAGGAAUCAUGAUUCAGUCAUGAGCCGCAUUGAUAUGGAGUUCUUUGCACCACGACUUCCUCCAUUUUAUCCUUUCGAGAAGGUCUCUAUGGAAUCGAUGGUACCUUUUAAAGUAACUACAAGUAUACAAGUUCACUAUUGUGUUGCUUCAGCAGUAUACAAUUAGCUUUUCUCAUGAAAAUUUUAUUGGUGAAGGUAUGCUUGGUAGUGUUUAUAGGGGUAAGUUCCCCGAUUGAAAAGUAAGAUUCUUUUAACUAAAUAAGAACUAAUUUGCCAGGAUGAUGGCGUGGCUGUUUGAUUGUGUGGCUUUUACUUCAAAAUGCCUCAUGUACGUUUGUAUUUGUUGUCUUUUUCUCCCUUCAUCUUCUCUAUCCUCAUUAGGAGUAGGAGAGUAGUCGAGAAAGAGCCAUAGACAAAUAAGACAAUGCAUUAGUGAAGUUUAGAAGAAUGCAAAAAUUGUCAAUAUCCUUAUGCUUCAAGAAAUUUAUGGAAAAGGAUUGUGCUAAAAAGCACCAACCAAAUGUACAUGGCUUAGGAAAAGAAUAGGUAGUUGUAGAUUUAUCUGUGAGAUUACACAAAUGUAACUUUGAUUUAGUGCCA